AAUUGACGGGGAGCACCGCAACGGGAGGAGCGUGCGGUUCAAUUGGAUUCAACGCCGGACAACUCACCAGGAGCGACGGUUACAUGAAGGCCAGGCUGAUGACCUUGCCUGAUUUCCGAGAGGUGGUGCAUGGCCGUCGUCAGUUCGUACCGUAAGGCGUUCUCUUAAGUGAGAUAACGAACGAGACCCUCACCGCUAAUUGCUAGUGUUCUCUCCGGAGGGCACGCACAUUAACGGGACCGCUGUCGCUAAGACAGAGGAAGGAGAGGUCAACGGUAGGUCCGUAUGCCCCGAAUCUCCUGGGCUACACGCGCGCUACAAAGGUUGGGACAAUGGGCUCCGACAUCGAAAGGUGAAAGGCAAAUCUCGAAACCCAAUCGUAGUUCGGAUUGAGGGUUGUAACUCACCCUCAUGAAGCUGGAUUCCGUAGUAAUCGCUUGUCAACAUCAAGCGGUGAAUAUGCCCCUGCUCCUU
Molecule: ribosomal RNA, 474 nt
Filed under: uncultured Thermoplasmatales archaeon
Lineage: Archaea; Methanobacteriati; Thermoplasmatota; Thermoplasmata; Thermoplasmatales
Description: bacterial SSU rRNA
Rfam family: Archaeal small subunit ribosomal RNA
Source: RNAcentral